Molecule: long non-coding RNA, 2800 nt
Filed under: Actinidia chinensis (golden kiwifruit)
Lineage: Eukaryota; Viridiplantae; Streptophyta; Magnoliopsida; Ericales; Actinidiaceae
Description: long non-coding RNA (ACHI_LNC003032)
Source: RNAcentral
AAGAAGUUUACAUACCCACAUAUCUAUCCGUUUCGCUUUAUCGACUACGAGUAUUGUGUCGAAGGUUUUUGGAACGUAGAGUAGUGUUCAAUACUACAAUCAAUCGACCUUUUCUCUCUUUAUCUGUACAAAAUCUGUUUAAUUGAAAAUGGCCAGAAAUUUGAGGAAAGCCCAUCAGGCAGCAAACUCUUCUCUGCAAUUAACCAAGCCCUUCACAUAACCUUGGAUUCUGAUCCUCGGUAUAUACAUACAUUUUGUUCAAUUACCCUUUUACGACUACUUUUUCUCUUUAAUUCAAUUCUGUAUAUAUAUGGUUGGGUUUUGCAUGUAUAUAUAUGUGUUUAUUUUAGCUAUCUAAUGUAUAAUUUGCUCUUGGCUUAGAUAGAUUGUAGAUUUUAGUUGGGAUUAUUGCUCUUAAACUGGUUAGCUGACUUUUUAUGACGUGUUUUGAUCUGAUUUCAAGAAUUAUUUAGGAGGAAAGAAGAAUGAAUUGAUAUCAUAUAUGUGAUCCAUUGGUGCCAAAUUAAUUUAUUUUUGUAUUGGUGAAGAAGGUCCCCGUUUUUCAUUUGACUCAGUUUCCUAUGUUUUUGAUAUGCCUACAAUCAGUAUCCCCUCCAUUACCCUAUAAUCUGUACAGAUACGUGUGUAUUCAUUUCUACUAUGUACUCUGUAAUUUCGCUUGGCUUCAACAAUUUCGGGACUUGAUUAUAACAGAUUAUACUUGGGAUUGUUGUUCUUUAAGGCUUCGUUUGAUAUAAGAUUUUGAGAGUGGGAUUGGACUAUUAGUCUGUUGUGGGGCUCACUUUAAUCAUGUUUUAGUACAAAAGUUAAACUCGGGACUAAUAGUCCAUUGGGGCUGUUAAUCCCAAAAAUGGAGAUUAGGAAUCCCAUGGGUGGUUGGUAUUACUAAUCCAAUCUCAUGGGACUAUUAAUCUAAGGAAAUUGGGAUUGGAUUGCUAAUCCCAUUAAAUUAGAAUAUGUUAUCAAACAUGGCAUAAAUGUCUAGCUGACUUCUUAUGACACAGUUAGAUCUGUUUCCAAUAAUUAUUUAAGGGAAAAAGACGAGUGAAUUGAUAUUAUCUGUGAAUCAUUGGUCCAAGUUAACUUAUGUUUCUCUUGGUGAAGGUCACUGCUUUUCGUUUGGACCAAUUGCUUAUUUUUUAAUUUCUAGUUUAUGAAUUUGAGGUGCCUAUAAUCAGUAAAAGAUUCUUAAAAGACCCCCUUUAGCUUGGCACAGUUGAUUGGUUCUCAACUCUCAUAGCUGCAGUGCCUUCUCCACUGCAAAGGGAUUUACAUAUAGGAAAUGAUUAGGAACUGACUUAAAACAUACAAUGCAUUAUGCAUAACCAAUUAGCUCUACCGUGCAAUACUUGUGAAAAGUUGUGUACUUUUCUCUACAUUCAUUUUAUGAAAGGAGAAUGACUAUGAAGCACAAAUACUUCAUUUUAGCUGUUGUAGCAGUGUAUGGCAUGUGUCGGACGUGCCGGAAUGCAUGUCAGACACGCCUCGUGGUGAAUCUUUAUUAACCUGUACUGGGCAUGACAUACGUAUCUCAGGACGCUUAGGACAAUACUUGUUGUAUAUUGCAUGUUCAUACUUCAGAGUUGAGUUCUAAAAUCAAACUACAUUAGUUUGGUGAUGAGGUCAGUGAGUUUGUUAGUUGCUUUUCUUUUCUUUUUUUGUAUUACCAUGUUUUUAGUUCUCUAGCUUAAGGUGUGUUGAAUGCAUGUCCCCUUAAAAAAUUGAAACUUCUAAAAGGGACUGAGAUUGUGAGAGGGAGGGAGUAUAUACUUUCUGCCUUAUCCCUGCCAUGUCUGUAUCCUUUUUUUUAUAUUUAAAUUGCGUGUCCUGAUGUCGGUGCUUACAUCAUGCCUGUACUUGGUAGUUGUUAUCCGUUGUCCUGUAGAUCUGUUUCAUUGAACCUUUGGGACUGCCUUGCUGACUUAUCCCCUCUUUUUUUUGAACUUCUGCAUCUUCCCUCAACCCUGACUCAUCAGUGCACAUUCAAUUAUGAUUAGCUACUUGUUUUCUUACCGAUGUUUGAACAGCUUUACAAUUAUAACUACCAUGCAUUAGUUCUUCUACGUGCAUGUGAACCAUGAUGCCUGUAUUAUUUAUAGUCAUGUGACAUGCAUGCGAACCAUGAUGCCUGUAUUAUUUAUAGUCAUGUGACAUGCAUCUAUCUUCUUUUCUUUGUGUUCAAUCUGCUUGCUUGCCACCUCUGUGACAUUGUUUUAUAUAUCGCAUUAGGGUUAUACCUGCAUCAAUGAAUCAAGUAUGCUUGUCUAAACAUCAUUAUGUCGAUGGGGGUUGGGUGAUGGGUGGAAGUGGAGAUUGGUUAUGAUAGUUUUACAUGGCAAAGAUAUGCAAAGCCAUUUGGCUCAACUUUUAAUCCCAAUUUUUGGCUGCUUUUAUGAAAAGAAGAUUGCUAUUCGCAACGGCCUGUUCAGCUUUUGUUAAAUAUUCUUUUUUGUGCCACAAAGCUGAAAAUGAAAAUUCUGAAUGAAGCCCAAUAAUGCCCAAACCAAUUAAGCAACAACCAAUUAAAAAAACAAUGCCAUAGACAAUUCAACAUUAAUAAACUAAGCAGGUUUUUACAUAGUUUGCUAGAUGCCUGAAAAAUCAGCCAAACCGUCUGUUUUUUAAUACUGAACCCAACAAUGCAGGGGGCUUAUUUGUACCAUGCGAACCCAUACAUUGUCAGCUGUACAGAAACUUACCUUUUCAAUAAUCUGUUCUUCAUAGUGCCUAGGUAUUUGGAGAAGAUGUGGGCUUUGGGGUAUUUAGAUAAACAACAGGU